AUGCAAAACAGCCCAGCCGUUGCAAGCCGCCAGGAUCCCUUGCUGCUGCCCCUGAUGCAAAACAGCCCCGCCGUUGCAAGCCGGAGUUUGCUGGUCACCGCUGCUGCAAGGCCAGGAAGGGGCGACGACCAAUGUUUCAAAGGAACGCCACCGAUGAUGCAUGCUGCAGGUCGGAGCACAAACUACUGCUGCGAUGUCGAGUUGCGCGACACGCCGACGACGCAUCAAGGUGGCGCCGCCAGGGUCCUACAAGGCAGCCAACUGAUGUUCAAUCGUUGUUGUGCAGGCCCGCGAGACAUGUGGUGCUGCCAUGGAUCUUCGCCCGGCCGCGGCCGUGUUGCUGCGUUGGCUCUUCGGCCAUUGUCGUGUUGCAAGCUACAAGGCUAG
Molecule: ribosomal RNA, 387 nt
Filed under: Triticum aestivum (bread wheat)
Lineage: Eukaryota; Viridiplantae; Streptophyta; Magnoliopsida; Poales; Poaceae
Description: partial small subunit ribosomal RNA
Source: RNAcentral